Molecule: ribosomal RNA, 465 nt
Filed under: uncultured bacterium
Lineage: Bacteria
Description: partial 16S ribosomal RNA
Rfam family: Bacterial small subunit ribosomal RNA
Source: RNAcentral
GACGAACGCUGGCGGCGUGCUUAACACAUGCAAGUCGUACGGUAAGGCCCUUUCGGGGGUCCACGAGUGGCGAACGGGUGAGUAACACGUGAGUAACCUGCCCACAACUUUGGGAUAACGCUAGGAAACUGGUGCUAAUACUGGAUAUGUGCUCCUGCUGCAUGGUGGGGGUUGGAAAGCUCCGGCGGUUGUGGAUGGACUCGCGGCCUAUCAGCUUGUUGGUGGGGUAGUGGCCUACCAAGGCGGCGACGGGUAGCCGGCCUGAGAGGGUGACCGGCCACAUUGGGACUGAGAUACGGCCCAGACUCCUACGGGAGGCAGCAGUGGGGAAUAUUGCAUAAUGGGCGCAAGCCUGAUGCAGCAACGCCGCGGGCGGGAUGACGGCCUUCGGGUUGUAAACCGCUUUCAGCAGGGACGAAGCUUUUUGUGACGGUACCUGCAGAAGAAGCACCGGCUAACUACGUG